This is a long non-coding RNA of Zalophus californianus (California sea lion), 1035 nucleotides long. RefSeq lists it as uncharacterized. NCBI's taxonomy places the organism in Eukaryota, Metazoa, Chordata, Mammalia, Carnivora, Otariidae. The record is from RefSeq and is a predicted model, not a curated record. The transcript is spliced from 5 exons.
UUUGCCCACGUUCAGCCAGUGGGAGGUCAGACCCGAGGCUAUUUCGCUGCCAGCCUCCUGCCCAACACGGUGAGGAAAAUUACCAGGACGACAAGAUGUGGUUUUCAGGUUAAUCAGCGCUCCCAGCAGUUGGACACAAGAGGUCUAUGUUUCAAUUUUCCCCUCCUUCCUUCCCCGCCUAUGGGAAGAGCUGGUCAACACAUGGUCCCAUUUCAUCCGUGCACAGCCUCAAGGGAGAGAGUAGAGGCGACUGAAGUGUCCUGGAGUCAUCUUCUGUCCUCGGCAGCUUCCUUCAUGUGGCUUUAGGGGAUGGUAAGAGCCAAGGAAGAGAAGAGGCAGGGAGAAGCCUAUGUGAUGAGGGAGGCCCGAGGCUGAAGCGGUGCAUCUCCCAGCCAAGAACUAGCGGGGAUUCCUGACAGUGCCCAGAAGCUGGGGGAGGCAAGGAGGAAUUCUGUCCUAGAGCCUUCAGGGGCACCUUGGCCCGGAUGACAUCUUGAUCUCAGAUUGCCGGCAUCCAGAAAUGGUUGCCACAGCAGCGGUGAGGACCAAGGGUGGACAGUGCCGGGUGGCAGAACAGGAAGAACACAUCCUCAACCUCGGAGUAACGGUGUGUGAGCCCCAGAACAGGCAAUUGGAACCGUGUUUGUCGGAAACCCGAGGAGCUGAGGGCUGGCUCGCACACCUGCACAGGUGUGUGCUCACACUCAGCAUGAGCGGGGCCACUGCACUGGGACUUGCAGCCACUUCUUCCUGUGUUCUAAGUCAAUAUCCACUCCCAUACCUCAUUUCGUGUUUGUAACUGUGUUUCUAUAGAAGCUCCCACACAACUUGGAAGAAGGCCCCACAAGCCUGGCUCGGCUCCUGCUGUGCGUGUUUGAUCUAUACGUUACGUGCAGUUUUUUAUUUUGAUCUUGGGAUGUUGUCAGUGCUUUCUUGGGACAAAAACAGCCCUUCAUUAUUCAAUUAGUCUCAUGAUACUUGACAUCCAUUGCGCCCUGACAGUGUGCCAGGCGCAUGUAGUACUUCCCUGCAUUG